ACGGGUGCGUAACGCGUGGGAAUCUGCCCUUGGGUUCGGAAUAACGUCGGGAAACUGACGCUAAUACCGGAUGAUGACGUAAGUCCAAAGAUUUAUCGCCCAAGGAUGAGCCCGCGUAGGAUUAGCUAGUUGGUGGGGUAAAGGCCCACCAAGGCGACGAUCCUUAGCUGGUCUGAGAGGAUGAUCAGCCACACUGGGACUGAGACACGGCCCAGACUCCUACGGGAGGCAGCAGUAGGGAAUAUUGGACAAUGGGGGCAACCCUGAUCCAGCAAUGCCGCGUGAGUGAUGAAGGCCUUAGGGUUGUAAAGCUCUUUUACCCGGGAUGAUAAUGACAGUACCGGGAGAAUAAGCCCCGGCUAACUCCGUGCCAGCAGCCGCGGUAAUACGGAGGGGGCUAGCGUUGUUCGGAAUUACUGGGCGUAAAGCGCACGUAGGCGGCGAUUUAAGUCAGAGGUGAAAGCCCGGGGCUCAACCCCGGAAUAGCCUUUGAGACUGGAUUGCUUGAACAUCGGAGAGGUGAGUGGAAUUCCGAGUGUAGAGGUGAAAUUCGUAGA
This 557-nucleotide ribosomal RNA is filed under the name Sphingobium sp. RDB-024. RNAcentral's name for it is "bacterial SSU rRNA". It matches the Rfam family "Bacterial small subunit ribosomal RNA", at positions 102 to 694 of the family's 1533-position model. Lineage: Bacteria; Pseudomonadati; Pseudomonadota; Alphaproteobacteria; Sphingomonadales; Sphingobiaceae. The record is from RNAcentral. RNAcentral also lists the same sequence under 4 other names.